GAUGAACGCUGGCGGCGUGCUUAACACAUGCAAGUCGAACGAUGAAGCUCAGCUUGCUGGGUGGAUUAGUGGCGAACGGGUGAGUAACACGUGAGUAACCUGCCCUUAACUCUGGGAUAAGCCUGGGAAACUAGGUCUAAUACCGGAUAGGAGCGCCUACCGCAUGGUGGGUGUUGGAAAGAUUUAUCGGUUUUGGAUGGACUCGCGGCCUAUCAGCUUGUUGGUGAGGUAAUGGCUUACCAAGGCGACGACGGGUAGCCGGCCUGAGAGGGUGACCGGCCACACUGGGACUGAGACACGGCCCAGACUCCUACGGGAGGCAGCAGUGGGGAAUAUUGCACAAUGGGCGAAAGCCUGAUGCAGCGACGCCGCGUGAGGGAUGACGGCCUUCGGGUUGUAAACCUCUUUCAGUAGGGAAGAAGCGAAAGUGACGGUACCUGCAGAAGAAGCACCGGCUAACUACGUG
RNAcentral lists this ribosomal RNA (466 nucleotides) under uncultured bacterium. RNAcentral describes it as "partial 16S ribosomal RNA". It matches the Rfam family "Bacterial small subunit ribosomal RNA", at positions 28 to 507 of the family's 1533-position model. The record is from RNAcentral.